AUUGAACGCUGGCGGCAUGCUUUACACAUGCAAGUCGAACGGCAGCACGGGCUUCGGCCUGGUGGCGAGUGGCGAACGGGUGAGUAAUAUAUCGGAACGUACCCAGCAGUGUGGGAUAACGUAGCGACAGUUACGCUAAUACCGCAUACGAUCUAUGGAUGAAAGCAGGGGACCGCAAGGCCUUGUGCUCCUGGAGCGUCCGAUAUCUGAUUAGCUAGUUGGUGAGGUAAAGGCUCACCAAGGCGACGAUCAGUAGCUGGUCUGAGAGGACGACCAGCCACACUGGAACUGAGACACGGUCCAGACUCCUACGGGAGGCAGCAGUGGGGAAUUUUGGACAAUGGGCGCAAGCCUGAUCCAGCAAUGCCGCGUGAGUGAAGAAGGCCUUCGGGUUGUAAAGCUCUUUUGUCAGGGAAGAAACGGUAGAGGCUAAUAUCCUUUGCUAAUGACGGUACCUGAAGAAUAAGCACCGGCUAACUACGUG
This 484-nucleotide ribosomal RNA is filed under the name uncultured bacterium. RNAcentral describes it as "partial 16S ribosomal RNA". It matches the Rfam family "Bacterial small subunit ribosomal RNA", at positions 30 to 507 of the family's 1533-position model. The record is from RNAcentral.